GAUACUUUAUUACAUUCUAGUGCGGACGGUGAGUACACGUUGGAACCUGCCCCAAAGUGAGAAUAAGCCACCGAAAGGUGGUCUAAUACUUCAUAAUAUCCAUCUCGUAUGGAUUAAAGCUUUAUGCGCUUUGGAGGGGCCUGCGUAACAUUAGCUUGUUGGUGAGGUAAAAGCUCACCAAGGCUUCGAUGUUUAACUGGUUUGAGAGGAUGACCAGUCACACUGGGACUGAGAUACGGCCCAGACUCCUACGGGAGGCAGCAGUAAGGAAUCUUCCACAAUGGAGGCAACCCUGAUGGAGCAAUACCGCGUGCAGGAUGAAGCGUUUCGGCGUGUAAACUGCUUUUAUCACCGAAGAUUAUGACUGUAGGUGAAGAAUAAGGACCGGCUAACUACGUG
RNAcentral lists this ribosomal RNA (399 nucleotides) under uncultured bacterium. Its description in RNAcentral is "bacterial SSU rRNA". It matches the Rfam family "Bacterial small subunit ribosomal RNA", at positions 77 to 507 of the family's 1533-position model. The record is from RNAcentral.